UAGAGUUUGAUCCUGGCUCAGGAUGAACGCUGGCGGCGUGCUUAACACAUGCAAGUCGAGCGAAGCACUCCACCGGAUUUCUUCGGAAGGAAGGUGGUUUGACUGAGCGGCGGACGGGUGAGUAACGCGUGGGUAACCUGCCUUACACAGGGGGAUAACAGUUAGAAAUGACUGCUAAUACCGCAUAACCCGCUAGGGCCGCAUGGCCCGGACGGAAAAGAUUUUAUCGGUGUAAGAUGGACCCGCGUCUGAUUAGCUGGUUGGUGAGGUAACGGCCCACCAAGGCGACGAUCAGUAGCCGGCCUGAGAGGGUGAUCGGCCACAUUGGGACUGAGACACGGCCCAAACUCCUACGGGAGGCAGCAGUGGGGAAUAUUGCACAAUGGGGGAAACCCUGAUGCAGCAACGCCGCGUGAGUGAAGAAGUAUUUCGGUAUGUAAAGCUCUAUCAGCAGGGAAGAAAAUGACAGUACCUGACUAAGAAGCCCCGGCUAACUACGUG
Molecule: ribosomal RNA, 501 nt
Filed under: uncultured Lachnospiraceae bacterium
Lineage: Bacteria; Bacillati; Bacillota; Clostridia; Lachnospirales; Lachnospiraceae
Description: bacterial SSU rRNA
Rfam family: Bacterial small subunit ribosomal RNA
Source: RNAcentral